This 253-nucleotide ribosomal RNA is filed under the name uncultured bacterium. RNAcentral describes it as "partial 16S ribosomal RNA". It matches the Rfam family "Bacterial small subunit ribosomal RNA", at positions 524 to 776 of the family's 1533-position model. RNAcentral also lists the same sequence under 1 other name. The record is from RNAcentral.
UACGGAGGGGGCUAGCGUUGUUCGGAAUUACUGGGCGUAAAGCGCACGUAGGCGGCUUUGUAAGUCAGAGGUGAAAGCCCGGAGCUCAACUCCGGAAUUGCCUUUGAGACUGCAUCGCUUGAAUCCAGGAGAGGUGAGUGGAAUUCCGAGUGUAGAGGUGAAAUUCGUAGAUAUUCGGAAGAACACCAGUGGCGAAGGCGGCUCACUGGACUGGUAUUGACGCUGAGGUGCGAAAGCGUGGGGAGCAAACAGG